RNAcentral lists this long non-coding RNA (653 nucleotides) under Homo sapiens (human). RNAcentral's name for it is "HSALNT0392351". Lineage: Eukaryota; Metazoa; Chordata; Mammalia; Primates; Hominidae. The record is from RNAcentral.
UUGCCUGGCUUUUAGUAAUUGUGAAAAAAGUGGUAUCUACCUUCGAAAAUAAACGAACAGAAAGCUUGUAUGUGGCUAGGCACACUAAAUUCUUCAUAGCGGUUCUGCAUUAUUUCUGCUUGGCUAAAAUCUCUGUUAAAUGUGUUCUUCCUAUGCCUUGAAAGAACUUCUAAUCUGAUUUUUCCAAAGUAGAUUUUACAGGCUGAAAGUUCAUCUCUCAUUUUACAUUUUAUACAAGUGUUUUUUUCUCUGCAUAACUUACAUUUUCUUGUGGGAAUCAUUAUCUCAAGCAUUGUCCAAGAAUAAGAUUAUAGUUAAAAACACAUACACACACACAACUAAGUCAGGGGUCUCCAUUCCUCUGUAAAUUCCAUGAUCAAUUUGCAAAAUUCUGUAUAAACAGCUAUACUGUUCUUACCCCAUUAGUCAUUAGCAGCUGGACCUAAAUUUAACAACUUAUAGUGUAGUAUUUAUUAAAUAGGAAAUAAUGGGGAACAUUUGCAUGUGACUAUUAAAUAUAAAUUUUCAAAAUGUUCUCAUUUAUUUAUUUAGAGACAGUGUCUCACUCUGUCACCUAGGCUCAGGCUGGAGUGCAGUUGUGUAAUCAUAGCUCACUGCAACUCCCGGGCUCAAGGGAUUUUCCUGCAUCAACC